Molecule: non-coding RNA, 71 nt
Filed under: Thalassionema frauenfeldii
Lineage: Eukaryota; Bacillariophyta; Fragilariophyceae; Thalassionematales; Thalassionemataceae
Source: RNAcentral
GAAUGUAACAAAUAGAUUUAUUAUAUGAUACUAGUAAACAGACAGUAAAUUCUUCAAAGUCGAAUAUGUAA